UACGAGGGGUGCAAGCGUUGCUCGGAAUUAUUGGGCGUAAAGGGUAGGUAGGUGGUCUCAUUUGUCUGGGGUGAAAGCCUUGGGCUUAACUCAAGAAGUGCCCCGGAAACGGUGAGACUAGAGUGCUGGAGAGGGUCGUGGAAUUCCCGGUGUAGCGGUGAAAUGCGUAGAGAUCGGGAGGAACACCAGAGGCGAAGGCGGCGACCUGGACAGCUACUGACACUCAAAUACGAAAGCGUGGGGAGCAAACAGG
This 253-nucleotide ribosomal RNA is filed under the name uncultured bacterium. Its description in RNAcentral is "partial 16S ribosomal RNA". It matches the Rfam family "Bacterial small subunit ribosomal RNA", at positions 524 to 776 of the family's 1533-position model. The record is from RNAcentral.